RNAcentral lists this ribosomal RNA (465 nucleotides) under uncultured bacterium. RNAcentral describes it as "partial 16S ribosomal RNA". It matches the Rfam family "Bacterial small subunit ribosomal RNA", at positions 338 to 795 of the family's 1533-position model. The record is from RNAcentral.
CCUACGGGGGGCAGCAGUGGGGAAUUUUGCGCCAUGCUCGUACGAGUGACGCAGCGACGCCGCGUGAAUGACGAAGGCCUUCGGGUCGUAAAGUUCUUUCGACAGGGAAGAAAAUGCCUAUAAGUAACUGUGUAUGUAUUGACGGUACCUGUAUAAGCAGCCCCGGCUAACUCCUAGCCAGCAGCCGCGGUAAUACGGAGGGGGCGAGCGUUGUUCGGAAGGACUGGGCGUAAAGAGCACGUAGGCGGUGUUGUAAGUCAUUAGUCAAAGACUAGAGCUCAACUUUAGUAAGGCUAGUGAUACUAUAAUACUAUAGUAUCAGAGAGGAUUGCAGAAUUCGUGGGGUAGCGGUGAAAUGCGUAGAUAUCAGGAGGAAUACCGUUAGCGAAGGCGGCAAUCUGGCUGGAAACUGACGCUGAGGUGCGAAAGCGUGGGUAGCAAACAGGAUUAGAUACCCCAGUAGUC